GACUUAAAAUCCGUUGGUUUUAUAGAUCGUGAGG
Molecule: transfer RNA, 34 nt
Filed under: Thuja sp. RM-2019
Lineage: Eukaryota; Viridiplantae; Streptophyta; Pinopsida; Cupressales; Cupressaceae
Description: partial tRNA-Leu
Source: RNAcentral